Molecule: ribosomal RNA, 253 nt
Filed under: uncultured bacterium
Lineage: Bacteria
Description: partial 16S ribosomal RNA
Rfam family: Bacterial small subunit ribosomal RNA
Source: RNAcentral
UACAGAGGUCUCAAGCGUUGUUCGGAUUCAUUGGGCGUAAAGGGUGCGUAGGUGGCUUGGUAAGUUCGAUGUGAAAUCUCCGGGCUUAACCCGGAAAUGGCAUUGAAUACUAUUGAGCUGGAGGUUUGGAGGGGGGACUGGAAUUCUCGGUGUAGCAGUGAAAUGCGUAGAUAUCGAGAGGAACACCAGUGGCGAAGGCGAGUCCCUGGACAACACCUGACACUGAGGCACGAAAGCUAGGGGAGCAAACAGG